Molecule: ribosomal RNA, 448 nt
Filed under: uncultured bacterium
Lineage: Bacteria
Description: partial 16S ribosomal RNA
Rfam family: Bacterial small subunit ribosomal RNA
Source: RNAcentral
AACGAACGCUGGCGGCAGGCCUAACACAUGCAAGUCGAGCGCUCUAGCAAUAGGGAGCGGCGCACGGGUGAGUAACGCGUAGGAAUCUACCUUGUAGUACGGAACAACAGUUGGAAACGACUGCUAAUACCGUAUACGCCCUUCGGGGGAAAGAAUUUCGCUAUAAGAUGAGCCUGCGUUAGAUUAGCUAGUUGGUGAGGUAAUGGCUCACCAAGGCUCCGAUCUAUAGCUGGUCUGAGAGGAUGAUCAGCCACACUGGGACUGAGACACGGCCCAGACUCCUACGGGAGGCAGCAGUGGGGAAUAUUGGGCAAUGGGCGCAAGCCUGACCCAGCCAUGCCGCGUGAGUGAUGACUGCCUUAGGGUUGUAAAGCUCUUUUAGUGGUGAGGAUGAUGACGGUAACCACAGAAAAAGCCCCGGCUAACUUCGUGCCAGCCGCCGCCGUAA